GGAGCGAUAGCUCACUGGUAGAGCACGAGAUUCGUCAUCUCGCGGUUGAAGGUUCGAUUCCUUCUCGCCCCA
Molecule: transfer RNA, 72 nt
Filed under: Archangium sp.
Lineage: Bacteria; Pseudomonadati; Myxococcota; Myxococcia; Myxococcales; Archangiaceae
Description: tRNA-Thr
Rfam family: tRNA
About the family: Transfer RNA (tRNA) molecules are approximately 80 nucleotides in length. Their secondary structure includes four short double-helical elements and three loops (D, anti-codon, and T loops).
Source: RNAcentral